RNAcentral lists this non-coding RNA (783 nucleotides) under Bombyx mandarina (wild silkworm). Lineage: Eukaryota; Metazoa; Arthropoda; Insecta; Lepidoptera; Bombycidae. The record is from RNAcentral.
AAUAAAAUUUUUUAUAGUUUAAAAAUUUAUUAUAAAUUUAUUUUACAUAUAAAUUUUAGUGUUAAUUUUUAAUUUAUUUAAAUAAUAAUUAAUAUUUAUUUGUAGUAAUUAAAAUUAAAAAUUUAAGUAAUUAAGAUUUAGUAAUAUUUAAAUUAAUAACAAAUUUUGUGCCAGCAGUUGCGGUUAUACAAAAAUUAAAUUAAAUUUUUUUAGGGAUUAAUUAAUAAUGAAUUAUAUAAUAAAAUUAAAAUUUAAAUUAUUAAGUGAAAUUUUAAUUUAUGAAAAUUUUAUAUUGAAUUAUGAAUUAAAAAAUUUUAUUAAAAACUAGGAUUAGAUACCCUAUUAUUAAAAAUUUAAAUUAAUAAUACUAAAAUAGUAUAUAAUUAUUUAUAAAAACUUAAAUAAUUUGGCGGUAUUUUAGUUUAUUUAGAGGAAUCUGUUUAUUAAUUGAUAUUCCACGAAUAAAUUUACUUAAUUUAUUUAAUUUUGUAUAUCGUUGUUAUAAAAAUAUUUUAAAAUAAUAAUAAUAUUUUAAUUUUUAUAUUAAAAGUUAAAUCAGAUCAAGAUGCAGAUUAUAAUUAAGAAUAUAAUGGAUUACAAUAAAUUUAUUUAAUUGGAUAUUAUUUUUAAAAAUUAAUUGAAAUUGGAUUUAAAUGUAAUUUUAUUUAAUUUAUUAAAAUGAUUUUAAUUUAAAAUAUGUACAUAUUGCCCGUCGCUUUCAUUAAUAAAUUGAAAUAAGUCGUAACAAAGUAGAGGUACUGGAAAGUGUUUCUAGAAAGAGUA